This 668-nucleotide ribosomal RNA is filed under the name uncultured Chroococcales cyanobacterium. Its description in RNAcentral is "bacterial SSU rRNA". It matches the Rfam family "Bacterial small subunit ribosomal RNA", at positions 95 to 798 of the family's 1533-position model. Lineage: Bacteria; Bacillati; Cyanobacteriota; Cyanophyceae; Chroococcales. The record is from RNAcentral.
GUGGCGGACGGGUGAGGAACGCGUGAGAACCUGCCUCAAGGUCAGGGACAACAGUUGGAAACGACUGCUAAUACCGGAUGAGCCUUCGGGUAAAAGAUUUAUCGCCUAGAGAGGGGCUCGCGUCUGAUUAGCUAGAUGGUGAGGUAAAGGCUUACCAUGGCGACGAUCAGUAGCUGGUCUGAGAGGAUGAGCAGCCACACUGGGACUGAGACACGGCCCAGACUCCUACGGGAGGCAGCAGUGGGGAAUUUUCCGCAAUGGGCGAAAGCCUGACGGAGCAAUACCGCGUGAGGGAGGAAGGCUCUUGGGUUGUAAACCUCAAAACUUAGGGAAGAAAAAAAUGACGGUACCUAAUGUAAGCAUCGGCUAACUCCGUGCCAGCAGCCGCGGUAAUACGGAGGAUGCAAGCGUUAUCCGGAAUCAUUGGGCGUAAAGAGUCCGUAGGUGGCACUUCAAGUCUGCUUUCAAAGACCGAAGCUCAACUUCGGAAAGGGAGUGGAAACUGAAGAGCUAGAGUAUAGUAGGGGUAGAGGGAAUUCCUAGUGUAGCGGUGAAAUGCGUAGAGAUUAGGAAGAACACCAGUGGCGAAGGCGCUCUACUGGGCAUAUACUGACACUGAGGGACGAAAGCUAGGGGAGCGAAAGGGAUUAGAUACCCCUGUAGUCCUA